Long non-coding RNA from Panicum virgatum (switchgrass), 923 nucleotides. RefSeq lists it as uncharacterized. Lineage: Eukaryota; Viridiplantae; Streptophyta; Magnoliopsida; Poales; Poaceae. The record is from RefSeq and is a predicted model, not a curated record. The transcript is spliced from 2 exons.
ACCGAUGUCGCUCGCCCCUUUGGCGCGUGGGGGCGCCGCCGCCAGCCCCUUGCGGGGUGCUGCCGACGCGAAACGCCGCCGCUGAGCGGCCCUCUGUGGGUGCGCCGUCGCUUGAUGCCCGAUGGGGCACCGCUGGUCCGGCCGUCCCCUUGUGCGCCGACCAACAGCUGGUCGCCGGUCACCACCGGUAGGAGGAGGGCCCCGCGUGACGGGGUGCUUCGGGUGGUGAAGCGCCGGCCGCCGAUGGCGCCGUUUGCCUGCGCGCCGGAGGGCGCUACCGCCGCAGGGCCGUGCGCUGCCGGCACCGCCGCGGGCAGUGCCCAGCGCCGUUGGCGCCGUUGUGGAGAGACGCCACCAGUGGUGGGCUCCGGUGUGCGCAGCUCCUCGCCUUCCCUUCUUCUUCUCAUCUUUGCCGGUCCCCAUGCGCGCCGGCGUCUAGUGGAUGCGCCGCUGGUGUGCACCGCCGUUGGCGAGCGCCGUCGUCGGUGGGCGCCGCGCCUUGCUCCGCGGCCGAGGGUCGCCGCCUAGCGCUGUAGCGCCUCUGGAGGACGCCGCGCCGAGUGCCGCCGCGGGUGGUGGGGUGCCCAUUGCCGCCGAGGGCGGCCGUGGUGGUGUCGUUCGACGGCGAGGAAGCCAUCAUCGUUUUCAGAGAAUUAAGUCUGCGAGUUCUUCCCCAUCGGUUCUUGCGCUCAGUAGAGAGUCUAGAGUGUGUGAUAACGUGUUGUGAGUGAAAGUGUUGAGAGAAUAAAUUGUUGUUAUUGAUUUAUGGUUGGACCAUUCCUUUUAUAUGUACAAGAGGAAAAGAGUGUCUCUUCUCCAAAGGACAUGCCCCUUUGAGAGUGACCCCUUCAUGAGAUUAACAACUGCUUGAUGACAUUCUAAUGAUGUCAUUAAUCUAAAUAAGUAAUUAACUAAUUACAGAA